RNAcentral lists this small nuclear RNA (107 nucleotides) under Balaenoptera physalus (Fin whale). RNAcentral also lists the same sequence under 1 other name. The record is from RNAcentral. Lineage: Eukaryota; Metazoa; Chordata; Mammalia; Artiodactyla; Balaenopteridae.
GUGCUCACUUCGGCAGCAUAAAUACUAAAAUUGGAACGAUACAGAGAAGAUUAGCACGGCUCCUAUGCAAGGAUGACACGCAAAUUUGUGAAGCAUUCCAUAUUUUU